This 253-nucleotide ribosomal RNA is filed under the name uncultured bacterium. RNAcentral's name for it is "partial 16S ribosomal RNA". It matches the Rfam family "Bacterial small subunit ribosomal RNA", at positions 524 to 776 of the family's 1533-position model. The record is from RNAcentral.
UACGUAGGUCGCAAGCGUUGUCCGGAUUUACUGGGCGUAAAGAGCGCGCAGGCGGCUGGUCAAGUCCGAUGUGAAAUCUCCCGGCUUAACUGGGAAACUGCAUCGGAAACUGAUCGGCUUGAAGGUGGGAGAGGGUAGUGGAAUUCCCGGUGUAGUGGUGAAAUGCGUAGAUAUCGGGAGGAACACCAGUGGCGAAGGCGACUACCUGGCCUGUUCUUGACGCUGAGGCGCGAAAGCUAGGGGAGCAAACGGG